UAUUAAUGUGUCCCUGCAGGACAAUUGACGGAGGAGGAGGCUCAGGGUUUACUGGGGGAGCGGGAUGUGAACACUCCUGAAGCCUCCAGCAUGGUCUUUCUUCGUGCCGUCUCUUUGGCCACAUUGUGGUUGAGUCGCCUCAGACGUUCCUGGGGAUAGAAUAUUUAGGUCAUGAGGCUAUUUUUUUUUUUACAUUGUGUUACUUUUUGUUUACCUGUUUCCAUUUUUAAACUUGGUUGUUAAUUGCAGAUGCGAUACUACUAGUUAUAGC
This is a long non-coding RNA of Etheostoma cragini (Arkansas darter), 271 nucleotides long. RefSeq lists it as uncharacterized. The transcript is spliced from 3 exons. Lineage: Eukaryota; Metazoa; Chordata; Actinopteri; Perciformes; Percidae. The record is from RefSeq and is a predicted model, not a curated record.